Molecule: ribosomal RNA, 254 nt
Filed under: uncultured bacterium
Lineage: Bacteria
Description: partial 16S ribosomal RNA
Rfam family: Bacterial small subunit ribosomal RNA
Source: RNAcentral
GACAGAGGGUGCAAACGUUGUUCGGAAUUACUGGGCGUAAAGCGUGUGUAGGCGGAUCGUUAAGUGUCUUGUGAAAUCCCACGGCUCACCCGUGGAACUGCUGGGCAUACUGGCGAUCUUGGGCCAACUAGGGGCAGCCGGAACAAGCGGUGGAGCGGUGAAAUGCGUAGAUAUCGCUUGGAACGCCGAAGGUGAAAACAGGCUGCUGGGGUUGUGCCGACGCUGGAGACACGAAAGCCAGGGGAGCAAACGGG